Molecule: long non-coding RNA, 18741 nt
Filed under: Citrus maxima (pomelo)
Lineage: Eukaryota; Viridiplantae; Streptophyta; Magnoliopsida; Sapindales; Rutaceae
Description: long non-coding RNA (CMAX_LNC001740)
Source: RNAcentral
UUUGGGACAGCGCUUAAUCAGCACAAUAGCACACAUACAUUAAUUUUAUUUAUUAAUUUCUUCUUUUAGGAAGAUAAGAGUACAUGAAAAGGAGCAAAGAAAAUUCUUUAUAUCUCUCAAAAAAUCUUAUUGGUCGCAAUUAAACUAAAUUGAUACUCACACAAUUGAUAGGUCAUAAUAUACCUAUCUUUUUAUUUAAUUUCAAAAAAAUAUUUCACGCACUUUAACCGAUGUAGUCGGGCUUUCUUCCGUGUUGAGGAACAACAAAAAAAUCAAGAUUAUCAUUUGUAGCAUCAUCAUCAGCAAUACUCGAACGGACAUCUAAUAUGUGCCCCUCUGACCAAUUCCUCUUGUCUGAAAAAUUCAUAUUGAAAAACUUAAUCAUAAAUGCAUAAGUUAAAACAAGAAUUAUAAACAAUAUUUAACUGAAGUUGGCCAAAAUACCUGCGCAGGGAGUCUCCAUAUUCUUCAAAUUAAUCAGAAAAGAUCUCUCUAGCUUCCGGUGAACCGUUAUGAAAACACAAAAGUAAUUAAGUUGCUUUAGCGAGUUCUAGCGUUUGAUAUUUAUAGAAUGAAGCAACCAACUGUAGAUUCAAAUAAUAAAUCUUUACAAAUAUUGCCAACAAAUUAUUGAGUGCCAACAAAUAUAAUUGAAUAUUUAAUUUUCGACUCGGACGUAUGGUCGGUCGGCAAUCAAUUAUUAAAACAAGACAAACUAAUAGCAAUACUAAAUUCUUUUCUUCACAGAUGUUAUCUUCAUUUUGGAAUGACUGGACAGAACUGCCAAAAUAUUGAUUGACUUCUGAACAUUAUUUUUUUUAAAACGGCUCAAAUUCAUGCAACGUACCCUAUUUUUCUCAAUAUUAUCAUCAAUUUAGGUCUUGAAUUUUGAUUUUAUAAUUACUUCUAUAGGGUCAGAGAUUCAUCACACCUAAUAAAAAUUCAAGUUUCUAGACCUAAAAUUAAUUCUUAUCCAGUAAAAUAUGUAAAGUGCCUCCACCAAUCAUUCAACAAUGAGUACAUGCGAAUUAAAAAUUGUGCAUUCGCCUAUUAUAUUCAUACAUUUUAAGCAUAUAUAAUUGAUUAGUAUAAUUAUUUGUAGCUGCUCGAGCCUGUAUCGGUUGUGAUCACUUGGUUUCCAUCCUUAAAAUCUUUGGGGGAUUCAUUUUUUUUUUUUACUUUUUUUUAUUUGUUGGUAUUCCUUGAUGAAUUGUUAUGUAACUAAGGACAUGCUUCUGAAAAAAGAGAGAAAGUUAUGAUGGCAUUAUCAUGCUGAUACACAUAAUUGAAGAAACAUAAACAUUCUUAAUUAAUUUACAGAUCUUAAUUCCCUUAUGAAUUGCCGCAAUUACCAAACUAGUACAUCGGGUUUGUUUAACAAAAAUAUCCAAGAAGAAAGAGAGUAUCAUUAAUUAAAUUGAUUUGGACAACAGCACACGAUUUUGUCUUCAUUAAUGGACUAACAUAAUUAACACAUUGACAUACCAUAAUUUUUUUUAUUAAUGACAAUGAACGAAGUUACUCUAAUCAUUUUAUUUUAUUUUUUUUCUAUAUUUAUAUGUUUCAAUAAGAAGACCACAUUAAUAUUUAUAAUUAAACAAACUAUUAAAACUAAUCUGAUCAAUUCUAUUAUAGCACAAUCUAGAUAUAAGUCUAUUUUUGGAACCCAAACAGAAUUAGUAAACGAAUAGAGGGUUCGCAGAAGAAAUUAGUAGGUUCAUAUAUAAAAUAUUAUUGUUUAUAUUUAUUCCUGGGCCGUUUUGGUCUUGACCUGCUUGAAAUAUUUUAUUGUAGAUAACUCUUAUAAGUAAUUGAAACGGUAUCAAGAAAUCAUCUGUUCUUUAUUUAUUUAAAGAGUAAAACCAAUUUACAUGCAGCUUAGAUAGCUAGAAAUAAUUUCUAGGAUUCUGCGACCGAUUUUUCUCUGGAACUUGAGGAGAAACAACAGUUGAAAUCAAUUUCUUGAAAUUGCAAAGUAGUUGGAAGCAAUUUUACGGAAGCGAUUGGAGAGCUAAAGACGUGUUCAAAAUGCAUUAUAUUUGAAUUUUGAAUUGUAAAACUGAAAGUGGCAUGGUUGUGAUUACUGUAAAUAUACUAUAUAUGGAUGAUGUUUUUAAUUUAGAGAGUCAAUGGAUACAAGACACAAAAAGCUAAGAGUAACGUGUCAUACUCAUAAUGAAUGAUUGACCCCUUACACUCAUUUUUUUAGUGGCUCACACUCUUCUGAAUUCUGAUGGCGACAAUAAUUUGAAAAAAAGAAGGAAAAGUUAAUGCUUAAAUUCACAGUGAUGAUGCUUAAAGACAAACAAAGUAAUUAAAUACCAUUACCAACAACCAAACAGAGGCCAAGCAAUAGUGCAUGUUAUUGAUAACAGAUGAGUAAGAGUAACGGCUCCGUAUGGGACACAUUAUUGCAGCCAAACCUAUUUGAUCAAGUCGGGAGACUAUAGAACAUCACUUAUUCCACACACGAUUUUAUUUAUUAAUUUUCUUUUUCAAGAAGAUACAAUAAGUUUAUACAACAAAAAAAUUAUUAUAUAUCUAAGGAUAUUUUAACUAAAUAACACUCAUACGAUUGAUAAGUAAUUAUAAUAUCCAUCAUUUUAUUUAAUUAAACAUAACUUAUAAUAGCUACGACACUAUGCUUAGCUAGUGUGAUCAAAUUUUUUUUCGUAUUGAGAGACAACAAAGAGAUCAAUAUUAUCAUCUAUUAUCUCAUCAUUAACAAUAUUAAGUCUGUAUGAAUAUUUACCCUUUGACCAUUCGUUUUUACAUGAAAUAUGUAUAUAUAUCAAAAUAAGAAUCAGAAACGACAUUCAAGUGAUGUUGGCCUAAAAAACCUGCAUCAAUAGUUUCCGUAUUCUUGAAAUCACAAAAGAUCUAUUAUUUGAAUGGUUGAAUGCUACUGAUCAUGUCAAAAAAAGAGAGCAUCCUUUUUGUUGGGAAUGAUCCGGUAGAUAAUUUUGAUUUCUUUUUGUAUGUUUCACUAGUGAUGAUUAAUUAGGGGAAUUAACUAAUUGUGUUGGUUUGGCUCACAAUUAUUGUAUUAUUGUAUUAUCAAAACAAGUGUAUCAUAAUUUACUCAUUGAGAUAAAGAUGAUUGAGUAAGAAGAAAUAACGUAAAGACCUCCAAAAAUACUGUUACAGUAGUCAGCACUGCUGACAUUUUCAAUGCUACAGUAUUUCUUACAUUAGGAUAUGCUUGCCAAAUGUUUUCUGGAGCUUGCAGCUUAUGUUAGGUCUUCUCCUGCUUUGUAUGACUUUUUAUCUGUUAUAUUGGUUCCCAAAUCUUCAUUUUUGGGCUAUGAUUUUGCAUUCUUUUCACUGUUGACAUCAAUUGUUCUAUGAUUAUUAUGUUUACUGUGUGCUCUAUUUUAGUUUAUAAAAUGUGUUUUAAUGGUAAGUUUUGCCAACGCCUACCGUAAAGACAAAUAGUUUGUGGUGCUAAUACUUCUUUUAUCAGAGAUUUAUUAGCAAGCAUUGUGUGAGUUCUAUUCAAGUAUAUAUUUUCACCACCUAAGUUAUGCCUCAGUCAUAAAUGGAAAAAAGGUAACUCGAUUGAUUUGCACUUAUCCAAUGGAGUUCAUUGGCAAUGUGAUGGUAGAAGUCAACUUAUUGGUAGUAUAAGAUUCUUUGGAGAAGAAAGCAGAAGGGGACUUGACAAUGAUUUGUCAAUAAUAUCGGGUUAUUAACGUUUGCUUGGGGUCUUGUCUAUUUAGUGAUUGAUCUAUAUAACAGAAGUUUUUGUUUCUGACUUAACUAAUAGAUGUGAAGUGUGUGGUGCGCGCCGAUGACGUUUCAGGAAUAAAGCAGCAGCAAAGGGACAGAAAUGUCAGCACCCACAGCAGUAUGCUGACCUGCUUCCUAUCCAAUGUACUGUACAGUCAUAUACCAUCCUCCAGAAUGACUUGGGCCAAACCAUUGCGUGAACAGUAUACAACUUUCGGUUUCUGCUUGCUUCAGUCAACACCACUGGGAAAAGCCCUGUAAGUGUUGGCUGCGGUCCAAACAUAAUUAAUAUUUAAUAGUAAACACAAUCAAGCCUAUUGAAUAUGACAACUCCUAUUUAGAAAUGGAGAUUUGAUGAAUCAAAUUUGGCCUUGUUCUUAAGUCGCUGUUUUGAGUUUGUAGGGGUAAUGGUGAAUUGAAUUUAGUCUGUUGAGAGUUUUGUAGAUGUUUAAAGAUUCAUCUUGUUAGCCCGGUUAUUUUUUAUUGGGUUAUAUAGUUUAAAAGUUGCUUAGACCAUAUUUUGACAUAGACGUGUCUUCUUUGUAAGAUUUUGCAGCUUUAUAGUUUAUAAAACAAUAAGAAGAUCACUCACGAGGAUCAUUGAGAAUAUUUUUGAAGACUUAUAUUGUUUUUUUCCAAUUUAAAGAUUUCUGGAUUCAUUUUUUCUUGUCACCAUGCACAAUUUGUUACUAACUUAUUGUUGUCUAAUAGAUUGCAGUGUCUUCGCUUAAUGGACCCUUCUAUGCCCUUUUGGGAGGUAACAACAUGUUGACUUUUACUGUCGAAGCUACGAAGCUACCAACUAGCUGAGUUUUACUACCGAAGCUACCAUAGCUACCACAAGUGGUUUCGUGGCACUCAUUAUGCUCCCGUCUUAACCUACCGAUAUUCCCAUUGAAAACUAAAACAAGAACUGCAACUGCUGGAUUUUCCUUGUCAUACAUACACUUGUGACUAUCUACUCUGGCCGUUUAGGCUCGUUUUAAUGAUAUUUCUCUUUAAUGAUUACAUUUUUAACUUUUGACCAACUGCAACAAUGAAAAAUGAAAUGAAAUACAUACAUAGUUUGAAUGAAAGUGUCUUCAAUAUAUUCCCUUAUGCAAAAUACAACAAAUGAGAAGAAAGGAUAUAUCAUCAUUCCUUUUGCAAAAUAGCAGCAGUAUAACUUCAACAACAUGAAUAAAGGCCUACAAAUAAAAACGAACAAGUUAUUAUUUAUGAUGAUAAAAUAAAUAAAAAUAUUCAUAAUUUAUGAAUACUUGCAAAUUAUUACCAGAUUUACCUAUGAUUAGAUCAUCCUUGGUAUGUAUUUGUAGGCAUGUACGCACACGUAACUGGAUCAAUUUCAGAAUUCUAUAAUUCACCCAAAAAAAAAAAAAUUAUAGAACUAAAAUAAAUUAAAUCUUUACAAUUUAAAUGGGAAUUAUUGAACAAAUAUUACAUACCUCCAUAACCAUGCUUUGUUGUGUGCCAAAGAUAUCUUUAUCGCAUAAUGGUUCUGUGAAAUCAUUCUAAGUAGAGUAUAGUACAAUUACGACAAAUAAUAAAUAUGAUAAAAAUUACAAUAAAAAAGAAGCCAUUGUAAAGAUUUUUUAUUUGCUUACCUUUUUCAUCUUUUUACCAUUUGAAUUCUUUUGCACUAUUUUUCCUUUCAUUUUCUGGACAACUUUUUCGAGCUUAGAUUGCUUCCUCUUGAAUUGAGGACGACCUUUGUUUUGGACUACCAAAGGAGUGAGAAUGGUUGAAGUGCCAUCAUUUGAAGUGCCAUAAGGUUUUCCAUUAGUUCUUGUUCCAUCAAUCGAACUAAUCUUACUCUGUUUUCCAUUGACAAAAUUUUCACUCAACGUUGUUUCCAAAUCAUUUAUUGUUGACCCCACCAAAUUGCACUUUUCUUCACUAUGGAAGCCAAUUCUGCCACAUUAUAGAAUAAAUUACACAUUUUGUCAAAGCGAUGGCCCUCAGGUUUGAUGCUCCAAUUAUCAUAAUUUACCUUCACUUUAGUAUGACAUCUUUUUACAUCUUUUCUCCAUCGCCUGAGUAUAUAUUUCAAUGGGACAUGAAAGAUACUUUUAUGAAAUUAAUAACGCCGCAAUUGCAUGUUGCCAUAAUAUUCCUUUAAAUUCAAACAAUUGGCAAUUACAAUUAACCUCAUGAGAUGCCAUAUUCAAGAAAACAAUAAAAAAAUCACGACAUAGAGUUUCUCCAACCUUGACGUCUUCAUUCACAGUAAACUCCAAGCUCACACCAUUCUCUUUAUAUAAAGAUAUUUCACAAUAUAUUUUUGCUGAUAACUCACGUUGAAACUCUUUAAAUUUUGCAAUUGUAUAAACAUCUCGAAAUUGCUUCUCAACGACAUAAUGAGUCAUACAAGGGAUUUGCGAAUUGAAAGAAUUAAGCUUGAUUCUCCUUUUCCACCUUAUCUUUCAAUGCACUCUCAUAUUGUUCCACAAAUUGUUUCAAGGUUGUUUUAGAAUUUACAUACUCACCAAAAAAUGCAUGCAUGCUUUCAUUAUGUUGAGUUGUAGACAUUCCUGUCCAAAAAGAAUUUCUCACAAAUGAUGGCACCCAACGUCUUCUUUCAUUAUACAACCUAAGCAUCCACUCAUUACUACUCAGAUUAUAUUUUUCAAUGAAUCUAUCCCAACGUCCUUCAAAUGCAGCAGGUGUUAAUGAAUCAUAAACAACAUUUUGUAGAUUAAAUUUAAUUUAAUCAUAUUCCUUCUAACCUCUUAAUUUGUAGACAUUCCUGCCCAAAAAGAAUUUCUCACAAAUGAUGGCACCCAAUGUCUUCUUUCAUUAUACAACCCAAGCAACCACUCAUUACUACUCAGAUUAUAUUUUUCAAUGAAUCUAUCCCAACGUCCUUCAAAUGCAGCAGGUGUUAAUGAAUCAUAAACAACAUCCUGUAGAUUAAAUUUAACUGAAUCAUAUUCCUUCUAACCUCUUAAUUUGUAGACAUUCCUGGCCAAAAAGAAUUUCUCACAAAUGAUGGCACCCAAUGUCUUCUUUCAUUAUACAACCCAAACAACCACUCAUUACUACUCAGAUUAUAUUUUUCAAUGAAUUUAUCCCAACAUCCUUCAAAUGCAGCAGGUGUUAAUGAAUCAUAAACAACAUCUUGUAGAUUAAACUUAAUUGAAUCAUAUUCCUUCUAACCUCUUAAUUUUUCAAGCAAUUUCUUCAUUAUAUGCCACAAGUGUUGUACAAAUUUUAUUGAACUCGCAAGUGCACGAAUCUAUUGUAGAAUAAAUCAAUGGUGACGAGUGUCGAUCCCACGAGGAGGUGAAUUUUAAUUGCGUGUAAAGUUAAUUUUCUAAGUAGGUGGUUAAAUUUGUGGUGAACGUGACUUAAACUUAUCCUAAAAUUUAAAUUAGAAUGGCAGAAAUAAAUUAAAAGUAAAAUCUAUUCAAAUGAAGUGCUUGGGUAUCUAGAUCUGCAUCAAUCUGCACCAUAGACUUAAUAUUCUUUAUUAGUGCCAAUUAAAUUAUGAGGGGGGUUUCCACUUCUCAUGAACCUCUUCUAAUCAAUAUGGUGCUAAGGACUUAUCGUGCCAAAUGGUAAUAACCUUGCACCAGACAAGAUUAUUACUAUCUGUCGACGAAAAGUCAAAACAUCCACAAAAAUCAAAGGAGAAGAGAAAGUAAAUUUACCAAAUUAAGCCCAUAGAACAUGUUGAGACUUCACCUUCAACCCAAACUUGAAAGAAAAUUAGCUACUUAUAAUUGAAAAAAUGAAAAUUUAUUAAAAUACGUAGAAAGAAAUUAUAGAAAAUAGAGCUAAAAAAUGAAUUCAGGGGUGUCGAAUUGGGGGGAGCCCCCUUUUUAUAGAUACAAUGAGUAAAUCAUGAUAAUCAUAUUAAAAUAAUUUGGACACUUAGGAUUGCGCCACAUGAAAAGUUCUGAUUGAAUAGAACACAUCAUCAGGGCUGUCAUUCCAUGUAUAUGCAUGUACCAUAUGCAUGUUUUUUUUUUGGUCCACUAACAUACUGUCACGUCAACGGUCAACACCACAUCAACAUUUUAGUCCAAUAGGAUCGUGACACAUCAUCGGUCAACACCAACUCAUCAGUCAACGCCACAUAAGCAGUCAAUGCCACAUCAUUCGUCCAAUUAAAUGCUGCCACGUCAUUGGUCGGUGCUACGUCAUUGGUUAAUACCACGUCAUUGGUCAACGCCAUGUCAUUGGACCGUAUAUGUGAACAGUGUCGUGAACAAUACCAUGAACAGUACCGUACAUAUAAACAAUAUCGUUUACCCUUGUAUGCUCCUCCAAGGUUUUCGACUGUCUUGAGUAUAAAAUUGCUGUCUGUUUUGCUCUCUGAUCUUUCGUUCAUUGUGAAAUGACCAUGAUGCCCCUAAAAUACAUAACAUACUUAAUUAAAAUAAAACACACAUAAUUAAAUCACAAGGGACUUAAAUAUAUAAAAGUAGGGAUGUUAGUGAGACUUGAAGUGUAAAAUGAUGAUUUUCUCCUUUAUAAACAUACACUUUCUAGCACUCAACAACAAGCACCAUCUAUUUUGUGUAUUUGGAAAGAGAACCUCAAUUGCUUUCUGCAUAGAUUUAUCUUGAUUAGUAACUAUUGCUUAUGGGGCAAUACCCAUCAUACAUGUAUGCCAAGACUCAAAAGCAUAUGAAAGUCUCAGUAUCCUCAUUAAAGAUCAAUCCACAACCUAAUAACAUUGAUUGUCCAUGAUGAUUCACCCCCACAAAGGUAGUAAAAGGCAUAUCAUAUCUAUUAGUUAAAUAUGUUGUAUCAAAUGUAAUAAUAUCGCCAAACUCCUUAUACACGGCCUGACUCCUUACUUCAGCCCAUAAAACAUUCUUUAAUCGACCCUCUUAAUCUAAAUCUAUACCAUAAAAGAAAUUUGAAUUGUUACCUUGCAUUUUCAUCAAGUAGCUUUGAAUUGCAGUGGCAUCUCCAACUCCAAGCUAUUAAUGUCUUACUUUAUCAACAUGAUUUCUACAAUCUCUCACCAAAAAAGAUAAAUUCUCCUAUCCUCCUGCUUCAUCUGCUAAAGAAUUAAAACUCUUAUUCAUUUUUAUCCUAGCCCUAUCAUUUAAUUCAGCCUUCCUCUUUACAUAUGUCUUCAAUAUGUUGUUACUCUUUAAAAAUCGAGCUUUCUUUGGAGUAGUAAGUUCAUGAUUGUCGUCAAAUAUGAUAGAACACACCUGCCACUUUCCAUCAGGUCGUAUAAAAGCAACAAGCCUUGCUUUGCAAUCAGUAUUUUUCAUUGGACACAUCUUGAAGGCAUUUGCAGACUUUGAUCUUUGGUUUGCCAUAAUGCGAACAACAUUGUCACAAAUUUCAGUUGCCCAUCAUCUCCCUUUCUCGAAGAUCUAAUAAAACCUUCAAACCCUAUACCUUUUCCAUAUUGCUUAUGAAAGUCAAAAACACCCUCAAAAGAUUCAAAAACCAUUCCAACCUGAGGCAACUCAAUUUUUUCUUCUGGACUUAUUGUAUCUUCCAUUUGCUCAUCAUUAUUGUCCUAAUAUACAUGAUAUAAAAAUCCAAAUAAAAAUCAAAUUGAUGAACAUUAAAAAAAUAAUAAUACGAAUUUACCUCGACAAGACGAGAGUCUGAGAGAAUGUCUUCAAUAAGUUUUGACUCAAAGUCCUACAUCUUUGAUAUUCAAUAAUCAAUAAUUAAAGGAAUUAAUCAGUUGAUGUCAAUACAUGAUGAAGGUCAAACAAUGCUGAUAAACAAUAAAAACCAAAAAGCCCUCACCUGAAAUAAGAGAACUAACUUCUGUAUCCGUACAUGAUAAUUAUAUUUCCGAAGGAAAAGUUCCACCAACAAUCUAAAAAUUUAAAAGAUUAUUAUGUGAAUUUUGUUUAAGCAAAAUUUUUCUUCAAACCAGGUGUUACAAACUAAUCCUGAAAUUUUUUCAAUAAUUGUUGUAAUAAAUACAUGAUUCAAACCAAAGUUCGAGAUUGUUCAACUAUAAAUUUUACAGAACAAUUAAUAAGCAAAACUCUGUUCUUGUUCCUAGAGAAGAAAUACAAUAAAAAAGCUUAUUGAUGAAGUCUUUGUUGUAGUAAAUAUAUGAUUCGAACUGAUUUUGUUUGACUUAAAAUUAAAAGGAAUUGAUUGAUUUUCACAUAGCAAAAGCGGAUUCAAUUCUCCGAAAAAAAAAAAAAACACAACUUCAAUUAGAACAAAAUUGAAAACAAUAAUGACACAACAUGGAAGAUUGUAAAGAAAACACCCUUAAUCUAUCCGGCAAUUUUAUAGACAUACCCAAAAAAAAUAUGGUGGCAAAGGAAGAUUGUAAAGAAAGAGAAGCCGAAGCCAUAAAAGAAGCCCACGAAGUCCAGAGAAAUAGGAAAACAGAAAUUAAAAAAAUGCUUUUUAUUUGAAUUUACAACGUUAGCUUAGGUUGACUUAACUUGGUGAUGUAUCUAGAGCCACAUUAGCCGCCAACUCAGGCUGUACAAAAACGUUUGUGUAAUAGUUUGUGAUUGCAUCAUUAUUAUAAAAAUAUACUCCAUGAUCCUAGAUUUGUUAAAAUUCGGGAAAGCUAUUAAGCCCUACGAAUUAAUUGUAUAAUGUCUGUGAAAGUUAAUAAGCCAUGCAAUUUAAUAGUAUAGUGGCAUAAAACUACUAAACCACAUGGCUUAAUAGUUCUCUCGAACUUUAAUAAAGUCCAGGAUCCUGGACCAAAUUGAAACUAUGUAUACAUAUGUGUGUGUGUACGUACUCUUCCUAUAUUUUAAUCUCAAACCUGAAGCUAGCUCUAUAUAUAAACUAAUAAAAGGGAUCCUGCAUUUUGGGCCAUUGAAUUUGAAUCCAAUGAACUAUUUUUGUUUAUUUUUAAAUCUAUACAUUGUAGGACCUACCUUUUAUAUGACCUUCAUAAAAAAUUUGAAGAGUUUUUUAGAAAUGGUCUAAGACUUUAGCCAACCGCCCAAAUGGGAUAGGAGAAGAGUUGUGUGUGAGCGUGAGAUGGUCAAGGAGGGGGGAAAAAAGUUUCUUAUUCCUGUGUGUGGUAGUGUGUGCAAGCUGGCCUUUUUACUUAUACUUAUCACAUGAAAUGGUAGUGUGGGCCCUCAUCACCCUUAAUCAUGUGUGUAGACUGGCUUUUUUUACUUGGUAUUUAUCACGUGCAAAGAUAAUGCAAGUAUAGUCAUUCAUGAGUAGAGCUUUGAUACUGGAUAUAGAAGUCUAUAGGUUUACUCAUGCUCUAAAAGUAGCUCAAGAGAAUAUGGUUAUCUCAAUCUUACAUUAUUACCCUGUUGUUCUCACUCGAUGUAAGAUAAUAUUGUUAAUAAUUGUGUGAUAUGUAACCAAUACUCAUCGAACUACAUAGACUGUAAGGGUAUCAAAAAUACCCGCCUGGCCUGUACAGGAUUGGACUCAAGCAAUUGGGGCCAGGUAUUACCUAGAUUGGGAAUGAAGUUGCGUCGGUCUUGAGCAUCAGUUGAUAAGCUCGGGCCUGCUCGAAAUUGGAAUUUUAUUAAAAAAAUUAUAAAAUAUAUAGUAUUUUAAAUAAUUAUAUUUAUUUGACCCAUCUAUUACAUAUAUUUAAAAUUUUAAAUAUUUAAAGUUCAUAUUUACAUGUCUAAUUUCAUUAAAAUAAAUUAAAAAUUAUAAAAUUAUAAAAUAAAUUAAAAAUUUACGUAUAUAAUAUCAUAAAAUAUAAAAUCUGAGCGUAAAACCCUAGAUUAAAAAACCCAAUCCAGUCUAGGUGUUUAGAAAACAUAUCUAUGUUAGGUUUGGACAUUCUCAUAUCUGAGCCUGGACCUAAAUUUUACCAUCCCUAAUAGUUAGUGUAUGUUCUUUGAUCUUUCUUGAUUUGAUUGUUGCUGUGUUUAUUUACGACCCGAUUGUAUCGGUUUGAUCUCAGCUUCAAUUAGAUUUUGAGGCUCAAAGUUUAACAAUAACAAACAAUGCGGUUCUUAGCAUUUGCCAAGAAAAUAAAUCUAAAUUCCGAAGAGUCGGCUAUAAAAUUCGACCCAAAAAAAAAAAAAAAAAACAAGAAAGAGAAGACCUAAAUCUCGAAGAAUCGGAUAUAAAAUCUGACUCUUAACUUUUGACGCGAUACGUAGUUUGUCGGCUAAUGGCAAUUAAAUUAAUGUUUAUAAUUUAAUUACAAGACAAACUAAUAGCAGUUAACACCGUCUUUUCUUUCGAAAUGAUUUCUACACCAUGUUAAAUUAAUGUUUAUCAUUUAAUUAUAAGCCAAACUAAUAGCAGUUAUCACCGUCUUUUCUUUUCAAAAUAUCAUUCCAUUUGGAAAAUGUAGGUGUCUUCUGAAGAGGUGACUCAUUCUCUCAUUGUGCAUUCAACGCUUGUCCUGCAACACAUAUUCCUGAUGCUUACUCACGGAACACAGCUUGUAUUUUUGUCUCUUGCAUCAUUGUUUUAUUUGACUUAAACAUCACCGAAUAUGCCUCAUGGGUCGGAGUUUUUAUACAAAAUUUUUAGUGCAUGUUUGAUAUGGUUAUAUAAUGUUUGAUACGAUUUAUUUAAUGACUAAAAGUACUUAUUUAAUUUCAUAAAUUCUUUUCAAAAUAUUUGUUGUUGUUUGUUUUAUUUUUAAGUAGAGCUUUUAAAGAGUAAAAAGCUAUUUUACGACUAUUAGCAAAAGUUUAAAUUUUAGGCUUUUAGGAGCAGAUACAAUUUUAUUCUUUACUGAUUCAACAAUUUCAUGUUAAAACUAUAAAAUAUUCUUUACUGAUUGGACAAUUUUAUUUCAUAUUAAAGUAAUUUUAUAAUUUUUAAUAAAAGUUGUCAUUGACAACCAAACAACUAAUUUUGUUUUUCCCUUUGUGAAAGCUCUACUCAUACAGUUAUAAUAGCUCUACUAAUAAAAUCUCUACCUAAAUAAAUUUUACUUAAAAAAUUAUACCAAAGGAGUGUUAGUCUCAAAAGAUAUAUCAUCCCAACAGGUGUGUGUAUAUAUAUAUAUAUAUAAUAUACGUUUCACAAUAUCAUAUGAAUUACGUACACUAGUGUUUUUUAAUUUAAAAUUGAAAAUGAUUUAAUGUUCGUAUUUUUUGAUGAUUUUAGAAUCAUUGUAUGCACUAAAAGGCUGUGUAUUUGUUUAUAAUUAUAUAAUAAAAAUUAUUAAGUUAUUUGGUCCUUUUUAUUGUCAUUAAAAAUAAUGCUUCAAUAAUAAAUUCUCACACAGUAUGGGGAGACCCGAACUCUCCACGCUAAAGUUAAGAAGAGGAAGUAGGAGUGCAGGACCAACCAAACCAAGGCUUUUGGCUCAUCAAAUUGGACUUAUUGUUAUUUUUAUUGCCCAAACGCAUGCGAUUAAAUAAAUUUUGUAAUUUGUUAAGACAUCUAUUUUAAAACAAUUUUCAGCACACAUGCAUUUUUCUUAACUCUUAUUUAAAAAUAUUCAAGAAGAAAGAGAGGAUAUAAUUAGUUAAAGUCAUAUGGAUAGUAUCACACGAUUUUAUGUGUAUUGACCAGCUAAUUCAAUCAAUCGAUUGGCGCGCGAUGCUUUGCAUCACUGAUCGAGUUGAAAUUGUUAUGUGAGAAAAAAUAAACAUUGGAAUAUUAUAUUGGAUACCCUGGAAAAUGAAACAGAGCUGAAAGAGGCAGUUUGGCAUAGCUUGAACUAAUAAUGUGAGGAUGAGAGACAUGCAAUUGUAAAUUUGCAUAUUGAGCAGCAUAAAAAACUAAUGUAGGGCUAUUAUAAUUAUGCUGAGCUUUGCGGACUCAAAUAUUGAUUAGGCAUAAAAACAUCACCAGGUGGCUGUUCUUAUUUGAGUUUAUACAGGCUUUAAUUUGCAAUCCAAAAUUGUAACAAUAAUUAUGAUAUUUUUCACUUGAUAUAGUUUUAGGCAGUGAUUGCUAUUCUGUAUUUCUAUGUUGACAUCUAUGUUUCUGGUUUGUCUUCAGCUUUAAUUUGCAGCUAUCUAACACUAAUGUUUUACUAGUUCUAGAAUGUUGCUUGAAAAUUUCUCUUUUGAAGUUGCUAGAGUGUGGUCCCCAACUAUUAUGGCCACAUAAAUUCCUGAUAAUGCCAUUUCAUUAUCCCAAUCUUUCUUUGUUGUGCAAUUGGUGGCAGGCAGCAAAGAGAAGAAAAAUGUCAAAGCUGAUGCUUGCUUGCUGCAAGGUAUAUAUAUCUGAAAGUCGAAACAAUGCUGCACUGGAAUCAAUUGAACAAGCUGCCAAACUAUUUUCAGAAGCUGCUAUUGUCAACAAAUUUGAAGAUGUAACUUACAAUAGAGUUGGUUAUACGGUGGUCUCCAAAUUGGCUCCAAAGCCAUCUUCAAACUCUCAUCCUCUGAAAAGUACUGUGUUUGCCAUGGUUAAAGCUGCUUUUGAGAAUAUUGACCUAGAUAUGCAUUCUGGAAGUCAUCCUAGGCUUGGAGUCGUGGACCAUAUAUGCUUUCACCCUUUGGCUUCUGCACCUUUGGACCAAGUGGCCGAGAUUGCAAAGUCUUUGGCAGGAGACAUCGGAUCUGAUCUUCAAGGUUUGUUUCCUAGAAAGUCCAAUGAAUAUAGCUACUAGAGAUUCUAGCAAAGCUGAAAAUAUGAAUUGGUACUUUUGCCUUCUCUAAAUUCCUGCACAAAUUCAUAACUGUGAAAGGGCCAGAUAAGCCUAAAAUAACAGCAUGUUUUGUUUUGUACCUUAUCCAGCCUGAGGGGUGUGUCCAACACAAUUUAGUGCUUUAUCCUAUUAUCUUCUUAAGCAAACUUCAGAUGCCAGAAUUAUUGAUAACCAAGCGCUUUGAAGUUUUGCACUGAUACAAAACAUUAGAGUGUUCUGAUGUUUGUGGUUUCUUUUGUAUCCUUUCUUGUUCAGGAUAAAGGACGUGCAUUGAGUGAGCUCUUUUCUCAUUUAACAUGGAGUGUUUCCAUUGUAUAUUGCCAAUUCUCUAUAUUUAGUGAGCCUAAAUAUAGAAUUGGGUUACCAGAAUGCAUCUCUUAUCUUACUACAAUGGUUACAAUUAGUAACUCAUGAGCAUGUUUUAUUCUCUUGGGAAAUUUCCUUUGCGCUUGCUGAUGAUCCUCAAUGUAGCCUGCAGUCCCUACCUUUUUAUAUGGAGCUGCACACGAAGAGGGAAGGACACUUGAUUCGAUUAGAAGAAAUCUGGGAUAUUUUAAGCCUAAUUCAGCUGGAAACCAGUGGGCUGGAGGGUUAAAUUCAGAGUCUUUAUUAGUGAAGCCAGAUAGAGGUCCUGAUCAAGUGACUCAAUCAAAAGGUGUCAUUGUAAUUGGAUCAACGAGGUGGGUUGAUAACUACAAUGUUCCUGUCUUCUCCACAAACAUUGCUGCUGUUCGCAGGAUAGCAAAGCGAGUAAGUGAAAGAGGAGGUGGACUUGCUUCAGUACAAGCCAUGGCUCUUACACAUGGUGAAGUUAUCACUGAGGUAGCAUGUAAUCUGUUGGAACCCAGUAAAAUAGGAGGAGAUAAAGUUCAGCUAGAAGUCAAAAAGCUUGCAGGGGAAGAGGGUAUGGCUGUGGGGAAAGGAUACUAUACUGACCUUUCACAGAAAGAAAUAAUUGAACGUUAUAUGAAAUUGAAUUCACUUGCUUAAGAUGUAGAUGUUCAUUUUUUAUUUACUUUCUGUCUAAGAUAUUAUGUAUUAAUUCCUACAGGUGAUUUUUUUUUUUGGAAGUCACCAUUUUUCUUCUCUUGUUCCAAACGAUUUUUUUUUUCCUCUCAAUUAUCGUUGGCUGAUUUUAGUUCGAGCGAAAAAGAUUUAAUAAAAUAGGUUACUUUUUCUUUUUUUUUAAAAAAAAUUUGUUCAAAGAGUGGAAGAGAAGAUGAAGAAAAAUAGAAUGAGAAAGGUGAGUUUUAAUUGGUGUAGGUAUGAACAAAUUUUUAAAUUAUGACAAGUGGUGUUGAUUGGAAAUAUUGGGUGUCAGCUCAAGUCGGCAUUUUUCAAAUUCUAAGUUAACCCAAAGCAAAAAGUAUCGAAAUGUAUUUUUUUUUCCCCUCAUCCAAAUUAAUUGUGAAAAACAAGGGGAGGGAGGCUUUGCAUCCAUUAUUAAAACAUAGAAUGUCUCCAUGAUAUUUUUCUGAAACAUGGGAGUGCAAUUGUCAUAUUCCAUGCUUGUUUUAGUAAUUUUACUGUCAUUAUUUGAAGUAAAUGCCAUUUGCUGCCAUCGACCUUGUUUACUUUCUAUUUUUUUGUGGCCUUUUAUUUGUAUAAUAUAAUCUAAUGCAUUUGCUAUUCAUUAUAACCUUAUCCUACAUGUAAGUAGAUAUUAAUAAGAGUAGAAAAUUUUGGUUGCAUUUUAUAAUUUUAAAUAUAAAAUAAUUUAAGUUUGAUUGUAAAUAUAAGUAGUCUUUUGAUUGUAAUAUCAGUAACAAUAAUAGUAAUAAAAAAGUGAUCCAAUGCAGGUCAAUUUUUUUUUUUUAAAGUUCUAAUAAAUUUCGUAAAUGUCGCCCAUGUAGAAAUGAUUUGAAGUUUUAUUAGGUAAAAAUUAUUUUAAUGAGUUAAAAAUCUGUAGAAAGGUCCACACUUCUGCCUUGUGAAGGUCUACAAACACAUACAGCAUCUGUUUGACAAAAGGAAUAUAAAGAUCAAACAGAUGUCCUGAUGAACGUGGGUUAAUUGACAAUGAGUCACAGUAAUCUAUUUCACGUGCCGCUUACCUAACACGAAACCACUUAAAAUCUAGCAAGCUAAAUGGCACAAUUCCAUUUCUGUGAGCCUUUUUUUUUUUUUUUUUUUUUGUCUUUUCUUUGAAAAAAGGAAGAACCGAAAGGAAAAGGCGAAGUGAGGAAGAGCCUGCCGUUUUGAAACAUCUUUACAUGUAUACGGGAUGCUUCUUUCAUAGUUCUCUUGCCUUACAAAAUUGAUUAAAUAAAAUAAUACAAGUCAUUUUUCGCACGCCCUUAUAAAUUUUGAUGGUUGGUGCACCCGUCUGGUGGUGUGACUUUAGAGAUGGACAACGGGCCGCCCCAAUACAGCUUUGUCCGUUAAGGAAUGGUCUAGUUUUGUUACUAGGCUGAUGUGGCAGAAAGUAUUAUACAAACUUAUCUUAUACAAACCGAUCGAUGUUGUAUGAUAAAAUUAGUUGAAUUAAAUAUCUCUUGAUCCACAUGAUUUAUUUUCAUUAUUUUGUAUUUUCAUUCAAUCAAUGAGUUAAUGUCACAUCAGUUUGUAUGAAAUAGAUUUAUAUAAGAGUUUGUGAUUGUAUCAUCACUCUAAAAUAAUAUCUCUUGAUCCACAUGAUUUAUUUUCAUUCAAUCAAUAAGUUAAUGUCACAUCAGUUUGUAUGAAAUAGAUUUAUAUAAGAGUUUGUGAUUGUAUCAUCACUCUAAAAUAAUUUCUGUUUAUACACACACAUAUAGGCACAAAAUCGAGUGGCCUAAUUCUGUUAAUUCUGUUAUCUUAAGACUAAUUAAUAAAAUAAUGAGACCGCACAAGUAACAAUUAAUUUUUUUUUUCAGUCUCCUCCCGAAUUCUUCUUUCGACGUUUUUCUCUCUUCCAGGAAUGCUUUUGCUUUGUUAUUAAUUAUGUCCUCUUGAAAUUAGAUUAAAUCUUAAAAAAUAGUUAGGGACGUGGCACAACCGUUUAUAAUUAUGGGUCCUUAUGCGAAUUAUGUCAUCACCUUCAUAUAUUAGAUAAAAUCCACGACACAAAGCUAAUCAAUUGCAGUCUAUUUUCUUGCUUGGUUGUUCAUUGCUUCUAUUAAACAAAGCCAUUAAGAAUUUUAUGGAUGUUUCCCGAGAAGCAAGCUAUUACAGCGAGCGGCUGGAGCUGUAGGGAGCCGAGGAGCAAGGCAGUAGAUAAGAUGGAAGAAGGGGCCAGGCUCCCGGUGGAGCAGAGGAGUUUGUUUAAAUAAAUUGAUUAAUCAAUUAUCUUUAUCUAUAGACAAACCUAUGAUCUUAAUUAAUUGCGUCUCUCCAAUAUCCAAGAUGGAUCUCCAAAUCCGAGUUAUUUGUCCAUUCAUGUGACAAGUAUUGGCAUCUAUCUUCUUCUUGGCAGUGUUACGAAAUGAUAAGUUUGAUUUGUACAUGAGCUUUAAGUUUUUCAGUUGAAAGAAAUUUAAUGCCAGUUUGCUUUUUACGUUUAAGACUUUUUGUGGUUAAUGAAUUUUCCAUUCCAAAAAAUAUAUUAUUGUAAAAACUGAAAAAUUUGUAAAAUAAAUAUAUUUUUUAUUAUUUUUUUUGGGUCAAAAUUUAUGAAAUAUAACUACUUUUGACAUAUAAUUCUCAAUUUUGAAAUGGAACCUUAGGAGAUGUGGCAGAUUAUAGGCACGGAGAUGACGGAAUUACCCAUCCAAUAGGAAGUGGUCAUAAAGCUUAUUUUAAAAAUUUAGUUUAUGUUGAUGAUGCUUUUCUGCCUCAUGAAGCUACAAGAAACAAUAAUAAUAGAUCGAGGAUAUCGCACAGAUGGGACUAAUUGGACCAUCUUAGGCCUAUAACAAAAGGUAAUAUUUCUGAUGAAAGAGAUUGCGUCUUUUAGAACAACCGAUGUGUCAAGUUUGUUCUAGAAAAGGAUUAAGAAGAGAGCAUAAUUAAGUCGACAUGCAUAAACUAACUUAAUCAACACAAUAGCAUACAUAUACAUUAAUUUUAUUUACUAAUUUCUUCGUUUAGGAAGAUAUAUUACAUGAAAAAGAAACAUAUCUCUCAAAAAAUCUUAUUGGUUGAACUGAACUAAAUGGAUACUCACACAAUUAAUAGGUCAUAAUAUACCCAUCUUUUUAUUUAAUUUAAAAAAAAAAUAUUCCAUAUUGAGGAACUACAAAAAGAUCAAAAUUAUCAUUUGCAGCAUCAUCAUCAGCAAUACUCGAACGGACAUCUAAUAUGUGCCCCUCUGACCAAUUCCUCUUGUCUGAAAAAUUUAUAUUAAAAAACUUAUUCAUAAAUACAUAAGUUCAAACAAGAAUUAUAAACAAUAUUUAACUGAAGUUGGCCAAAAUACCUGGGCAGGGAGUCUCCAUAUUCUUCAAAUUAAUCAGAAAGGAUCUCUCUAGCUUCCGGUGAACCGUUAUGAAAACACAAAAGUAAUUAAGUUGCUUUAGCGAGUUCCAGCGUUUGAUAUUUAUAGAAUGAAGCAACCAACUGUAGAUUCAAAUAAUAAAUCUUUA